Long non-coding RNA from Lagopus leucura (white-tailed ptarmigan), 6834 nucleotides. RefSeq lists it as uncharacterized. NCBI's taxonomy places the organism in Eukaryota, Metazoa, Chordata, Aves, Galliformes, Phasianidae. The transcript has 23 exons. The record is from RefSeq and is a predicted model, not a curated record.
AUUCAGAAGAAUCCCAUGCUUGUUGCUUUGCUUUACUUUGUGUUGCGCAAGUACAGCUUAAGUUCUAAAGUUACUUAGAUUUCCUUCUAUUCUUGGUAAGUUAUCUGCUGUACUCUCUGCAUAGAACUGUGUUUCUUGACUGUCCUGGGGAGCUAUGCAGCCUUCAGUGAAGAACAGGGAACAGAAGCUGCUUGGGGAAUUCUUUGACUGGCAAACACCUGCUGCUGCGGAGAGUAUCUCAAAUGUACACCACUCACAAACCUCAGGAUAAAAUCAAAUGGGAUUCUGGAGAUGCCGUGUUCUACUACUCCACAGUGCUUCAUAAAUCAAUGUGAGAUGUGCCCAUGCUGAUUCACAUGGUCUGCAGUUGGCAUCUAUCAACAAAACUGCUACCUGCACCUUCAUUUGGAAGGAAUCCAGAGCAAUCACAAGGAAACAUUUAGAGGAACAGAAGAGAAAGAGAUGGGAUGUAUAUGGCAAGCCAGACUGGAAGGAGACCAGUAACAAAAUUCACCAAAAUAUCACUAAUGUCCUGGGGGUCACUGUCUCUUCAUACAAUGAGGGUAUCAACCAAUUCCUCUGCAACGUUAGAGUUGAAGAAUUUGCCUUAUUCUCAUCAUUUCCAACUGUCAGUACAAAAAUAAAAAUUUGAACUGGAAAGAGAUUGGAAAGGUGAAAGUUGCGAAGAUGCCGUAGUGGCAAACCCACUACAGUUCUGAUGCAGAUGCCAAAGGCUCUGUGCCCUUCAAUCCCAUUAUUAGCAGGAACCUCCUUUCUCAGGAUAUGAAAGAAGAGGCAGAGGAACCUACAGCAGGCAAGGCAAGCUUUAGCCUAGAACAUGCAGUGAGAAAGUGAGAAGCAAGAUUUCUCUAAGUACUCUGUCCCCAUGGAUGCCUCUGUGAUUGAAAGACGACUUCAGUGAACUGAAGAGGCAUGACUCUUCAGUGACAGAAUCUAUAGUACUGUGGUCCACCCAUACUGCAGACUUGACUCUCCAGAGGUCCCUUCCAGCUGCUACAAUUCUCUGAUUCUGCAAAAUCAUUUCAUUCAAGAGAAAGUGAACUGACAAAAAGUAGGUACCAGAGUCUCUUUUGAAGGGAGAUGAUUCAAGCAUGAUGGCAGAGGGAAGGCUCAGUCAAACCUUGGACCACUGUGGAACCAGGCCACAAGAUCCAAACUGGAGAGUGCCAGCCAGGAUGAUUUGUGCUACUGUGUAAUGAGAGAAAUCCUGCAUCUUUGGCUAUUCAUGGGUCUGAAAUACAGCCUGCUGCAGCUGAUAAGGUAUAAUGGGUUUCAGUGAGCUUCAGCACCUCUGAACUGAACACAGCAGAGACCCAACAUGACUGAAGUUUCCAAGUCCAACUGUAAGAUAGACUGAAAAAAAGGGAGUACAAAGAGUAAAUAGAUGGAAACAGAAAGUGAAUUUUGGUUGUGGAUGAGUAAAUAAAGAUGCAUUGAAAGCUGGCAAAAUGAGACUCACAGGACAGUUCCCCUUCUCCCAGACCUGUUUCAUCUCAGAUAAGGGAAAUUAGAGCCAGGCCCAUAAGGCUGCAAGAAAAAUUGGCCUGACGUUGCCUCUCCUGUGCCAGCUUCUGAACUGGAUCGUGAGGAGUCUGAGAUACACCAAAGCACACAGACCUGUCUGAAAAAAAGCAGACUCAAACCCGUACCCAGGAUGACAGUUGCAGAGUUCGCUGGUACUGCCACAGCACCUUCAAUGCAGAUUGAUGCCAAUGGUGACAGUCCAGAGCUCAUCACAGACCCUGUCAGCCACUUUCAUGGGUGUCCUUUUUUUCUUAAGACAAAUGAAUGGGGAAAAACAGAAAACUCCAGACUGUCACCGCAUUCAUCAGGCUGGACUCUCAUCCAAGAUGUCAUUUCUCUCAAGCUGCUUGGUUCAGCUUUAAAAGUGGGAACUAUUUAACUAAGGAAUGAUGAGAUAAGCUCCAUUGUUGGUUCUUUUGAGUAUUCCUCAGAUGGUUAAGCUUACUACAAGACUCUAAUAUUAAAGAUUUCUAGAAGAUAGAGAACCUCUCUAAAGCUUUCAAGACAGUAUGUCUGAGUGCACCACAACAUAAAAUCUAUAAGCCAUCUGCUCCUGCUAAUAUCCCACUGAAAAUGAAGAAUGUAUUCAGCUGCUUCUUCUAUAUGCAACUUUAUGCAGGUCCAAUGCAAAUAUUGUGGAUAUUGUACCAGGAAAACUACAAUACGGCACAAAAGGAAAACUGUGACCUAAGAACUCUGAGAAACAAAUGGGAAAGAAUGAAAAGUCUGAUCUUGUGACUCCAUUUGGAUUCUUCAUCCAGCACUGUGGAGAAAUUACAUAGAAAGAGAUGAAGUUCCUGCUAUUGCUGUAGGAGGAAUAACAAUAUAACGGAGAAGAACAAAGAAUAAUCUUAAGGUUAUGCCACAGGGAAUCAGCUGUGGUUCUCCUGCGCUAGAGGUGAGCAAGAUCUGAUACUUGCAGGACAGCACCUAAGUUGGGAAGUCUUCAGAUUCAAGCCUACCAUCUUCUGCCUCCUCCCAACUUUUGCAUAUCUCAGCAAAUUAUCCCAGCUGUGAACCAUUCAAGGAGUGAGUUUCUUAUUUCCACUUGUCUGUAAUCAGGGCUUUAAAAAAUGCUGAUGCAAAUGCAAAGUUCAUCCAGAAGGAAUAUAAAAAGGGUGAAACAGCAGGACAAUGUAAAUUCGAGACCUCCGUAUUAUCUGCUAAGUUAGAAGGAAUUAAAUGUUUAUAUGGCAAGUUCUUGGGCACACGGGAUAUGCAGGUACACUUGCAGCCAAGAGACGUAAGCCAAGCACUGAAUUCUCCACAUAUGCCCUGCAUCCAGUUUUCCUGGGUACUGAAGUUUUCCAGCGGCCCCUGCAAUGCGCGGAUGAGCUCCAUGUUCCAGCCCCUUCUCUCCCUCGGUACAGUUGGGAACAUGCUGCAGAGGACAUCCCUGAGUUCUGACAGCCAUACUCAGCUCUUGCAUCUUAGAUGCCUGUCCCAACUUCUGUGAGGCACGGGGAGACAGGAUGUUUUGGCACUUGUAGAAUGAAACCCUCCAAAACAGAGAAAUGACGAGAUUUUAAGCCUUGCCUGUCUGCCUAGCACUCAAGUAAGACACAAGCAGUAACAGCUGGGUCAGCUAUGAGAAAAUUCUUUCACAUGAUUAAUACAGAGAGGCAGUUGUGACUUUUUUAAAUCCCAGAGUCUUUUUUGUUCUGUAUUUUUCCAUACUGAAAACCAGGCAGCUCCUCAGGAAGAAAGGAGUAAUGUUUCUAUUUGAGAAAGUAAGUGCCUUAGAGAAUGAUGUGGUUUAAUAGACAUCAUGCACAAACCACAGCGUCUUCUGUCUGAGGAUUUGCAAAGUAAGCACUGGAUUUCUCCUCACCACCCAAGGUACUUUGAAAUGGCCACAUGGCAGGGUCUAAAGGAAAAUGCUGAAUACUAUGGGAUAUUUUCUGGUGAUGGUCAAAUGUUGCACUGCAGAGAUUUCAAUAAUAGAGAAAUGGAUUAUCAAGAGAUGGUAGCCAGGUAAUGUUAUGGUAGCCAGGUUAUGUUAUAAGUAGGCUCUUGAUUUAGGCCAAAAUCAAAACAACCUGAACUGAAUGGUGCAGUGUGAAAGAUGAGGCAGAUGUCUUCACACCUGAUCCCUUCAAGGCCUAGAUCUCUUUGUUUUGCCAUUGAAAGUCCCUCUGAUGAAGCACAGAGCAGAAAAACAAACGUGGAAGCCAGACAUCAGUCUCAGCAAAGUAAUAAUAUAUAAUUAUCAAAGCUCACAGAGUAAUCAGGGUGAAACUACCCAAAAAGCACCUUUACUUGCAUCCUCACCAGCUUCACUGGUAGUCAGCAAGUGAGAUUUGAUCUUACAGCUCUUAAUAGAUUUCUAUAUAUUAGCAUUGAAAGAAAGGAUUUCAAAGGAAUCAUAGCCUGAAGUCUGCUAGUGUCUAUCUUUUCCUCAAGGGAUAAAUUACAGAAAAGUAAUUUUUAACAAAUAGGAACAAAAGAUGUGAGAGUGAUUUGAAAUAUUAGCAAGUUAAUUAAUGUUUUAAUACAUUUUUUAAAGGUAGAUCUAAAAAUAACCUUGGGUAUUUAUAUACGUAGAUAUAGUUCUAGCUGACAACGUUAUAGAUACAAUGUCAGAAAAUCAUGGUUCAGAAGAGGAAAAUCUGAACAACGCUCAGGAUUUAUUUUCAUCUAUAAAAGAGUUGUUGAAAUCCUGUUCAUUUUUUUUCUUUCUUUUUCCAAAGCCAAUGUUAUCCUGACUUUUCUAUUUUGUUCUGUUUUUCCUGAAUUUGUCCUUAGAUAGUCUCAACAGUAAUGAAAUGAGUCAGAAGAUCCAAUGUUUGUUUGUUUGUUUUUUUUAAAUAACAGUUUUUUUCACAACUGUAUCAAGAACAGAGGUCUAAUUUCCCUCUGCCACUAUAAUACUAAAACCUUCAUUGAAAUGAAAAAAAUCAUUGAUAAAAUCACCACGAGCAACCCAUCAAAAUCCAUAUGAAAGUUUGUAUGGGAACUGUUAGGUCACAGCCUGCACUUGUGAUUGAGCACCUGGGGAAGAGGUGUGACUAGCCCUAGGAGCACAGGUGCAGGCAAUUCACCUGCUAGCCCUAGGAGCACAGGUGCAGGCAGUUCAUCUGCACAACAGGACAGAUGCACCCUGGGUAAACCUCUCCCUCAUUUAAGGGCCAGCAGCGAGGAGGGCAGUAUCUAUUUUUGGAGAUCUUUGUUUCUCUGGGAAGUUUUCAAUGGAAAUUCAUUUGGAGUAAGAUUAAGAACAUCGAAAGCAAAAGAAAAGCUAGAAAAAUGAAGUAUUUCUGGUGAGAGGGGGCAAAAAAGAACACACUAAAAUGUUGUUGAUUCAAUAUAAAUUGCACUUCAUAUUGAAUGACUAAAAUGUAAGCAUCACAGAUAACAGGUAUUAUUAAUGCACUGAAAACUGGUUAUUUUAACAAAGCAAGCAAUGGAAAACUAAGGAAAGAGGAAGAAUGCUGUAAGAAAUUCUACUUCAGCUUCAAUGAGGAAUUCAGAAGAAAUCAAAGGACAAGGAAAAAAAGAAGAAUCACUAAGAAUAAGUGGAUGUGCCCCAUUGCUUGCAGACUAGGCACGCGCUUGUGUAGAUGCGCCCCAUUGCAAGGUGCAAUCUCCUGUGGACGUGCCUUUCUGUACAUGCACCCUGUUGCUGUUGAGGCCCUCCUGUAGACCUUAAUAUGUUUCUGCCAGUUAUUGCAGUUAACAGCUUUACUUCUCAUUGCUCAGUACUAUUGUGAAUUAGGCUUUAUUACUGCAUCCAAGUAACUGUUAUUGUAACUUUAAGCUGUAUUAUAGUUUAUUCAUACAUUUAUUAUUUUAUUUUAUUAUAAUUCUCCUAAUGAACACUUAAAACUGUUGUUAAUCUACCCAAAAUCUUGUUUAUUCGGGCCUUUUAGAGCAUUUUCUGGAAAAUGUUUCAGUGAUAGGAUUGAUAAAAUACCGUGCUUUAACCAUUAUAGCUUUAUGUAAAAGACCCAAACCAGCCCUGCCCAAGGAAAUCUAGAUUCAAACGGACUACCAAAAAAAACACCACUAUAUUCUCUAUUUCCUUCUAUUGCUUGAUGGAACAGAUCUUAAAAGUAUGAAGAAUCACCAACACAUACAGCAAAUACUGGAAAAUAUUAUACAAACUGUGUUGUUGAACCUGUAUUUUGCUCCUGGAGGUGGCCCUUUCAAAACACAGCUGAGUGUCUCUGCCAGCACUCGGUGCCAAGGCUGAAACUGCUUACUUUGUGCGUGUACUUGAGUUAAAAGUUUCCAGUACUGCUGACAUCUAGGAGGAUUUCUUUUCAGGAAGAAAUGCAAGAGAAAUCCUUAUUUUGGUAUUCCAUCUGAAAGAAGAGUUUUCAAACAACCAAAAAAAAACAGACACAAAUUUCUAGAGUUGGAAAUCUCUUUUUACAGAGUUCCUGAGGGCCAAGGGUCUACAUGAGUUCAAACUAACAGCAUCCUGCUAUUAUCAGUUUUAAAUGAUGCUGAGUUUGUGGAUUACUGGUAUUAAUAAUGUUUAGCCAAAAAGGAAACUACAGCUUAUAGUCUUAUGGCUCACUUAUGUAGUGCCAAACUCCUCAUUGAAUAUUUGAUCUUGCAGUCAAGAGCUGAUUUCUGGUCACCACUCUCAGUGGUCAGAGGAUUACACAGAUGCAAAUGCCAGUCCCAAGGCUCUAACAAGGCAAAUAUUUUCAUAUAAUAAGGGAUCACCAGAAGGAAAGAAAUGCCAUCAAAACUUCCCAGUGUUGCUGUCAGAUCAUGUGUGACGCAUGGUGAUGGUCUACAUGGAACUGGUGGAGCAUAGUAUGAAUCUGCAGUGCAAAACUGGGUUGCCUCCAAUAGCACCCCUGUGCACUGGCCCAUGAAAGAGCAUGGAAUUCCACCAUACACCAAUCAUCACUCAUCUUAAAUUGUAUUAACAUGCAUUGCAAAGCAUGUGUAAGCAUCAGAUCUCUGUAUUAGUUAAGGUUCUUCCUGUAGUUAACUUGAUCAUUAGCUCACGUCACAAAGGGCUGGAGCACAUGGGAACUAUUAGUCACAACCUGAAACUUUGAUCACCUGAGGCAAGAACUGUCAGCUGCAGGAGCACAGGUGAAGGCAUUUCACCUGUGUGACCGGAGGGGUGGCCGUGGUCCACCUCUCCUAGACUCCAUUUAAGGGCUGACUGCCACUGAGGAAGGAUCUCUUGCUGGAGAUCACUCUCUUUGGAGUUUUUCUGCAACUCUUGGACAUAGGAGAGCAUUUUCAUUUAUUUUUUAUUUUCACUUUGCACUGUGAUAAUCCUGCUAGUUCUAGGACCUGAAAAAUAACACUCUACAGACUGUG